CCCACUUAAAACUUAAGGAAAUUGUGGCACAGAAAUGUUUAGUAAUUUUUGGUCCUUAUCACACAGCAAGUGGCGGAACCUGGAUUCAAACCCAGGCUGCCUGGUUGAAGAGCAAGUGUUUUUAAUUACUCUGCGUCUCUGUCUCACUCAUAGAGCACACUUAUUAUUUAUCCCACUUACCUAAGGGGAAGAUUAGGCUGUAAGUCACAUACAUACAUGUAUUUUUUUUUCAAUGCCGUAUUUGUGGCUAUUCCUGUUUUAUUUCAAAUUGUUCAGGAAAAGCCCAUUGCUUCCUGAUUGCUCUAAAGUGACAUGCUUAAUCCAAUCCCAGGUGUCAUACUGGUAUUCUUUCUUAGCAAUUCUAUCAAGACUUAGAUUAAAUUGACCUUAACUGUGAUCUAUAGGUUGAACUGGAUUUCCUCUAUAUCAGAUGAGAAGUAUUAUUUCUUAUAUGCUGUCAAGUAAUUGGAAAUAUUAUAAUAAUGAUAUUGAAAUUCCAUGUAAUAUUAAACUUAAUAGUUUUGUUACUGGGUCUUUAAUUUGCAAUGGAUUUCAGUGAAGAAAUGUCAUACCAUUAUAAAUGUUCACUUUAUAAAUUUAUUGCAACAGUAGGUACUGAGAUAUUCAAUAUACAAUUUUUCAAGGAUUAAUAGAAGCAAAAAUAGAAGGUUUUAAUAUGUUUGAAACAAAAGAAAGGUUUUCUUUCAACUUGGAUAUAUUGAUUAAUAAAAUGACAGGAUUUAUUCUUAUCAGCUGCCUUGAUAUUCAUUUUAUUAUGUUUAAACACCAGUAUAAUUAUUUAAUAGUUGUUAUUUAUUAAUAGGUAUUAAUUUCCUUGAAAGUACUGAUUAUAGAAUAUUUAUUUUUUAGCAUCACAAUUUUCAAGAUUUCUUUUUCUGUGAGAAAUACUCAAAUUAUAAAAAUUUUUCUUUUAUAAGUUUUCAUGCCAGAGAUUAUUUUAAUCCAUCACCAUAUUUCUAUCUUCCAUAAUACUCUUAUCAUUUUAUUGUAAUUUUAUUGUCAUUAAAUAUAACUGUGCAUAUUUUGAUCAUUUUGCAUAUUUAAUUUCAACUGAUUUUAAUUUUUAAAAAUACAUCUUUGUCAAAUCAUCUAAAUCUGUUGUGCAAAUUAGGCUUCUCAAGCCUAAAUGCACCCUUGCCUUAUUUCACUGGUCCUAUUAAGUUGCAAGCUAAAGACAGUUGCAAUAUUUUGCAACUCUUUAAUUUGCAUACUAAAUGGUCCAUAAAUUCCUUUAUUUUACAGAGCUAAUCUGUGACUUCACAAUUCUUUACUAGGUAGUGUGGAUUUAUUCAACAUGACCAGUUCUGAUUUAUCCCCAAACAAAUGAGCAAGAACUAGUCUGCCAUGCAUAGGUGGGCCAGUGUUCCCUCUUCAACUUUGUAACUUGCCACUCUAAAGGCAGAGGCAUACCACAUCACUUUGUCAAUGUCCCUCUUGGGUCAACAGUGUACAUAGGAUUGGCUUGACCUGCAAAGCCCCAGAAUGUGGAGAGUGGAUGCAAUGCAGUGAUGAGAGAGUCAGUCAAUGUUACUUAUAGGGAGUACUAUUGAGUCCUUGAAUUCUGCAUCAAGUGGUAAUUUUUAUAGCUUAGAUUCAACUUGGGAACUGCCAAGGAAGAUAGGUGUUUGCAUAUUCUUCACAGUGUCACAGAAAGAAAAAGAAAAAGCAAACUAGGAAGUAAAUACACAGCAGAGUGGAUUAGAACACAAUAAUCUAUUUUACAUCUGUGGGAUAAAAAAAAGAGAAAGUGAAACCCAUAGCAAUAUUAUAGACUGUCACUAAGCUUUAAACAUUGAUCAAAUAUAGGCAAAAUCUGAAAAUGUAAUUUGAAAUAAAUUCUUGCAGCAGACAACACAAUAUCAAGACACUGGAGAAAAAGGCAUGAAUGGAAUAGUGCUAGGGACUUUCUCCUCAGUUAUAUCUGAUUUUAAGUGUUUCUUCAAUCCCAGUGUGAAAGGAUUGGAAGUUAAUACAAUAACUAUGCUAGAGAUUAUUUCUAAUAUAUUUGUACAUGGUUAUUCUAAGUUAACUCUCUGUACAAAUUAUCCCUCUAUUCCAUGGUAUGGUUCAAUGAUUCUCAAUUAAUCCUUUCACUAUAAAGUACUUAAAUGAGAAAAAAAAGUUCUUGCAAUUUAUGCAUAGGCAUCUCAAUGUGAUAAUUUCUGGUCAAUAACUGAUUUCUAGAUCCUGGUUCCUAAAAUAGACUGGACAGCUAAGACACACUCUGCCUGGACUGCUAAAGGGACCAGGCAGAUUCCUGUUGCUGAUGUCUUAUAUUGCCUGUAUGUACAAUAGUGGCGUGUUACAACCAGAGAUUUUUAACAUCUCUGAUAAACUUCAGAAAUGUUAAUUAUAUAAAGAAGAGGCUCACAGCAUCAUAGCAUUUACAUUUACACUCUAAUGGAUUCUUAUAUUAGGUAAUAAGCUUAUUAUUACUGAGGUGCACUAGAGACAGAGAGGCUUCCAGAUAUGGCAACAGUUUUCAGUCUCAUUUACCAUUUUUUUUUAGGACAGAACUCUUACUAUACAUAAUCCAUUAAUAAAGCUGCUGGAAGAUGCUUGUUAUUGUAAAGAAUACUGCAUUCUAAAGAUAAGUGGCAUUAAUGUUACUUAGAAAAACUAAAGCUUCAAUAUUCUCUUGGGAACAAUUAGGAUUCUGUUACAUAAGUGCUAUACUAUAUCUACUUAAAUUGGUCUUCUAUAUCAUGAAAAGUAAAAAGGUAAUUAUCAAAAUGGAUAUAAAUCAAACAUGCAUUUUAGAAAAUAGUUGAACCACUUAACUCUCAGAGGAUAUAGGGCUGGAAAAUCUUUCCCCCAAUUUACUCAUCCAUUCAAACUUUACUUCCAAAAGUGAGCAGGGAUAAUUCCAUAAAUAUAUAUUUAUUAGAUUUAUAAAAUAUAGCCAGCUCAAACUGCAGAAAACUGUUUGAGACAAAACUUAUUUAAUAACUAUUGGAAGACCACUCUUAAGAGAUAUUUUUGCUACAGAAGUAGACUUUGAAAAAAAAUCCCUAAUGCUCUCUUAAGAUAUAACAUAACAGCAGAGAUAAUAUUUUCAGACAAAGUAUACUCACUCCACUGUCACAGUUCAGGACUGGAAACAAUGAGCCAAAUCAUCAGACCCUCUGGAGAAAGACAACACCAUACAAGUCCCUAUUCUUAUUAAAAUGAGAAAAUUACAUGCCUAAUUAUCUAGGGGCCACAGGAACAUGAUUAUUUUACAUUUGACAUUUGUAUUCCUCACUUAUAAUUUCUAUUUUAUUUCUUAUGAUGAAACACAUUGCUUGUAGGAAGAACAGGAACAAAACGUUAUUAUCCUUUCGUUCUCUUUUGCCUUCUCUUCACCCUUUUAUAAUUUUAUUACCCUUACCAUCAUCACUAUCACUCUAAGCUAAAAAAGCAAAAUGUGAAUAUGUGGAGUGUUGAACAUUAAAAGAAUGAUAAAGGAAAAAGUGAAAAUGAUAAAGUAAUGCUAGAGUGCAUUUGAGUUUUUUAGGUAGGAGUUACUAUAUCCAUUUCUGUUUAUAAGAUCUUUAUGAAGUAAGAAAACUGAAGAUAAGAGAGAUUAUGUAACUGACUCACAGGGUAGCUUGAUUUAAACAUAUGUACGAGCUUUAGUACCUGAGAGUCAGGGCUUCAAAUCUCAACAUAUAUUAAUUUCUUUCUUGGUGAUAGUUGGUGGGUUAAUCUCUAUCCCCUAGAAGAUUUACAUCCAAGUUCAAGUGAUUUAGAGUUAAACUCCAAAUUUUUCACUGACCCAGAGGUUGUCCCUCAAUUAAAUAAUAAGUAUUUGAAGUUCUUAGAAAGGAAAAGAGACUUUUAUGUACAUGUGCGGGGGUGGUAGUAUUGUGAACAAAGAGAAAAAUGGCAACAAUAACUACUCUUUAACACAUAGCACUAAAUUAAAACAUUUUUCCAGUUCUAAACAUUCUUUCCCAAGUGAUGGAUAUUUCCUAUGACAGCUACAGUGUCAAUGGCUCCUCAUAAAGCAUGACUGAGCUGUGCUGGAUGAUAGUAUUUAGAAUGGUGGCUAAGAGUAUGGGUUCUAUAUUUGCAUUGUCUGAAUUUAGAGCUUAGGAGUACCACUUACCAGCUGUAUGACCUAGAGUAAACCACUUAAUUUGUUUGCAUCUUAGUUUAUUAGUCUGUAAAAUGACUCAAGUUUGAAAUUAGCAAAUAGAAGGAAAGUCCUCAAAACUCUGGCAUGUAAUAAAUACCUUCUAUCUGUUUUCAUUAUUGCCAGAUCUCUUUCAGAAGUGGUGGAGGAGUGAUGUUGCCCUAAAAGAAUCAUCUAACUAUCAAGUAAAGCUGCCUGAGUACAUGACCAUAUUUCAAACUCUCCAUAGUAAUCUUUCCCACCCCCACUGUCUAUAGUCUUGCAUGGCAGGCUUAUUGAUGAGAUUUACUCAGAAUUGUAUAGUAGUGGGUGUGGUGUAUUAGUAUCCCAAGAACUAGGCAGAAGAGUGUGGAUCUAGUUCCUACAAACUCAACUGAUUUAUCUUACAUGCUUCCUGGUGUGAAAAGAUGUCCUAGGCUCAUAUUGUGUAUUUCCUAUUCAAGACUGAAUUGUUUCCAGUAAUAUAUAACAUAGAGUAUUUAUUGAGAGGUACAAAUAUUUUAUGGAUUUUAUAUUAUUAAUUCCUGAUAUUUCUAAUUCAAAUUAGGCUUAAGGGAUAUUUACUUAGCCUUGUUAAUUUUACAUCUGUUCCUCUGUAUUUUCCACACAGGAGAUCGUGGUUCGCAACAUAAUUAGUCAUUUUCAUUAUUCCACAAUAUUCAAAACAGUCUGAAAAUGGUAUUAACAAUACUAACAGAGGAAUACUAUAAGCACAUCAUUUCUUUUUCAGUUCUUUUUGUCCUUAAAGUAUAUUCUAUUCUAGAUAUACAUAAAGUUACUCUUUUAAAUGUGCCUUUACAGAGUUAAAUCAAAAAACAAGAUAUAUUCAGAAUAGUCUGGUAGUUAUCCUCUUUCCUUUACUGUUUCUUCUCUUUUCACCUAUAGACACCUAUUUUGUUUUUAUGUUAUUGUUUGUUUUUGAUAAAUAAUAGCACAGUAUAGUAUAUACAGGUUUUUCUCCACUUUGUUCUUCCACUUAGCACUACAUCUUGGCAUAUCCUAGAGGUCACUUUAUUACACUGUGGAGACACAUGCACCAUUCUUUUUUACUAUGAAAUGUACUAUGAUAAUUUGGAUAUAAUCUACUUUAUUUCACUACAAUGUUGGGCAUUUGUACUUUUGUCUAUUGCUAUUAUGCAUUAUGUUGUAAUAGACUUGCAAAUUGUUAAUACAUCUUUCUUGUGUUUCUUUAUUGUUGUUUUAUAUUGUUUUGUUGGUGGUGGUGCUUUCAUUGACAUAACUUUGAGAUAUACUUCUAGAAGUAUGGCUACUGGACCAAAAGGUACAAGCUUAUGUAAUUUUGCUAAAUAUUACCACAUUUCUGUCUAAACUUUUUACCCCUACUAGUGAUAUAUAAGUGUCUAUAUUUCUACUGUGAAAGGUUCCCAUGAGGAUGGAGACAGAACCCCCUCCCUCUCCAUCCCCCAAAUGUGGCUGGGCUGUUCACCUUGGAGACCUUCUGUGGACACCCUCUCCAGGAAUGUGGAUGCUCAAAGUGGGCAACAAGAAACGAUAGAACUAGAGACUCUUAUACUGAGUGAAGUAAGUCAGAAAGAGAAAGAGAAAUACCAUAUAACAUCACUCAUAUCUGGUAUCUAAUAUACAGCACAAAUGAACCUUUCCACAGAAAAGAAAAUCAUGGACUUGGAGAAUAGACUUGUGGUUGCCAAGGGGGAGGGGGAGGGAGUGGGAGGGAUUGGGAGUUUGGGGUUAACAGAUGCAAACUAUUGCUCUUGGAGUGGAUUUACAAUGAGAUCCUGCCAUGUAGCAGUGAGAACUAUGUCUAGAUACUUACUUAGAUACUUAUGUCUAGAUACAGCAUGACAAUGGGAGAAAAAAUUAUGUAUACAUGUAUGUGUAACUGGGUCCCCAUGCUGUACAGUGGGGGGAAAAAAAAGUGUGUU
RNAcentral lists this long non-coding RNA (6042 nucleotides) under Sus scrofa (pig). Its description in RNAcentral is "lncRNA (ENSSSCG00000053636.1)". The record is from RNAcentral. Lineage: Eukaryota; Metazoa; Chordata; Mammalia; Artiodactyla; Suidae.